CCUACGGGUGGCAGCAGUGAGGAAUAUUGGUCAAUGGCCGAGAGCCUGAACCAGCCAAGUCGCGUGAGGGAAGACGGCCCUACGGGUUGUAAACCUCUUUUGUCGGGGAGCAAAAAGAGUCACGUGUGACGCUUCGAGAGUACCCGAAGAAAAAGCAUCGGCUAACUCCGUGCCAGCAGCCGCGGUAAUACGGAGGAUGCGAGCGUUAUCCGGAUUUAUUGGGUUUAAAGGGUGCGCAGGCGGAGGUGCAAGUCAGCGGUAAAAUUGAGGGGCUCAACCCCGUAAUGCCGUUGAAACUGGAUCUCUUGAGUGCGCGAGAAGUAUGCGGAAUGCGUGGUGUAGCGGUGAAAUGCAUAGAUAUCACGCAGAACUCCGAUUGCGAAGGCAGCAUACCGGCGCGCAACUGACGCUCAUGCACGAAAGCGUGGGUAUCGAACAGGAUUAGAUACCCUAGUAGUC
This 459-nucleotide ribosomal RNA is filed under the name uncultured bacterium. RNAcentral's name for it is "partial 16S ribosomal RNA". It matches the Rfam family "Bacterial small subunit ribosomal RNA", at positions 338 to 795 of the family's 1533-position model. The record is from RNAcentral.